This is a non-coding RNA of Bemisia tabaci, 443 nucleotides long. NCBI's taxonomy places the organism in Eukaryota, Metazoa, Arthropoda, Insecta, Hemiptera, Aleyrodidae. The record is from RefSeq and is a predicted model, not a curated record.
AUUAGGAGAAGAGGGGAAGUUGUUUUUAUUCUGGCAACUGAAUAUAAUUUAUCAUUCGGUUAGCAAUUACUUUAAUUAGGUAUGUUAGAUUUUUCAAGAAAAACAUCUUUAUUCUUUCCUUCAAUUAUUUAAACAUCAUUAAAAAUUCUAUAAGAUAAGUUAGUACCUUAAAUGAUAAUGAGACCAUAUUUAGAACAAAAGUUUUGGAAGAAUAAGCAGGUAGGUAGGUAUAUGAUUAAAUUAAAUCGUAUUUUAAAUAUAUUGAAAGAGAUCCAAUAAUUUUACGUUUUUUAAUUGACUUUUAACAGGUUUAUUAAACGUGGAGAAGCUACAUAAUUGUCUGAAACACCUUCACCAUUUUGUUGGUAAUGUUGGUAUGCAACUAUGCUGGAGGAGUGGGUAUCUUUUUAAUAAUAUAUAAUUAGGUUUUUUUUUUUUUUUUU